GAAGAAUCGGGAAAGAAAGGAAAAGAAGAGAGGAAGAAGAAGGAAAAGAAGAAGAAGAGAAAGAGGGAGGAAGGAUGGCCAAAUUAUUUGGAGUUUAUCUGGCGAGGGAGAAUGCCAGCAAGUGAAAAGGAAGAAAUUUGGUAUGCAAUAUCAGAAAUUAGAGAGAGAAAUAGAGAAGAAGAUGAAUAAUAGUCAAUGCCAGGAUUUAUCAAGGUAGCAAAGUUUUUUUUCAUCCAGUGAAGAAACUGCUAGAGAAAUAGUGAAGAAACUGCUAGAGAAUCCAGCCGGUUGUGUUGGUCUUGAAUUCACCGCCAUUUUCUGCACAAGAAUGGCUGAGGAGGAAAGUAGACGACGUCGUUUACCAACAUGGAUGGUGGGUGCAACUGCAAGUGCAACUGUUGCCAUCGACGAUGAAGAUAAAAACAAGACGAUUAUCGGAGAGCCUGAAGAAGAAAACCCAAAUUUGCCUAGAAAUUUGUUUGCUCCUCGAACUCGAACCAAGACAAGCAAAAGACGAAAAGCGAAAAAUGCUACCUUUGAAAAUCGUGAGAAAAUCCACACCCAUGACGGUGAUGAUGAAGAUGACGGCGAAGGCUUGACGGUUGAAGAUCUAUACAUGGAGGUCAAUCAGAAUUCAGAGCCGAAACAGCCAUUAAAUAGAAAAUGUGAACCACAAAGACAACAUCCAACAAUAACAUCUUUGAGCAAUGAUUUGGAAGGGUCUUUCAUUGCUCCUUGUAAUGAGCAGCAG
RNAcentral lists this unclassified non-coding RNA (751 nucleotides) under Hevea brasiliensis (rubber tree). The record is from RNAcentral. Lineage: Eukaryota; Viridiplantae; Streptophyta; Magnoliopsida; Malpighiales; Euphorbiaceae.